Scylla paramamosain (green mud crab) is the source of this 1043-nucleotide long non-coding RNA. RefSeq lists it as uncharacterized. NCBI's taxonomy places the organism in Eukaryota, Metazoa, Arthropoda, Malacostraca, Decapoda, Portunidae. The transcript is spliced from 3 exons. The record is from RefSeq and is a predicted model, not a curated record.
UCUUAAGUCCGGCAAAUAUAUACUGAUCCGCCUGCCUAUCAUUUUAUGUAUUGUUUAUGGAUUUAUUCAAUUGCUUAUCUAUUUGUUUAUUGUUCUACGUACAUGUUCAUCCUUCAGGACUGGACGCGAGAUAAUAAAAAAUUUCUAACUCCAAAUUGCUUAAACUCAGACAGACUAGAAUAUCAAUAGAAUCAACCUUGCGGGCGACACUCAGGUCAGUCUUUCCCUCCCUGCUCGCCACGCCACCAGCCCCAGAGCGCCAGGCAGACACACGUGGAGCGAGGCACAUACACACACACACACCGGCCCCUCGCUUUUCCGGCCCCGUGUGAUGUGACUACCCGGUUCCCCACCCACCCCAACCACCUGUGCCCGUCGCUUUUUUACGGCUGGCAAGUGGGAGGGCUGAGAAGGGAGGGGGAGAGGAGCCUUGAGGAACACCACUGUUGUCAGAGGUAUCACGUCACCGCUUCCACCACCCCCUGGGCCUCUCCUCGAUCCCUUCCACCUGUAAUCCAGUCCACCUCGACCGUCCAGGAACUGUUAUAAUGACGUGUUUGCCUUGAGUGAACCCAAUUAAGUACCUGACGCCUGCCUCUCCUGAGUGUCCCUGCAGCAUCAUUGCCACGCCAGGCCUCCUCACCCCCCGCAUCCUCACCACACAUGGGAGCAAUUCAUUAUCUGAUGACCUCCAGCCUCCGCUCACUCCAUCACACCAGUGUCCCUCCAGCUCCACCCCGGCGCCCAGUCCGGAGAGGGAGAGGGUCAGUGGGGAGAGGCAAGGAGGGAGGGGGGGAGCCCGGCCAGUGUAAAGCGACAGUCCAUCGCAGUUUUUUGUCCCACGCCCGCGCAGAGAUUCUAACUUUGCAAUAAUAAGUAAGUUUAAUGCCUGCAGAUUACAGUCGUGGCGGAAUGCUACACACUGGCCGGCCAAACCCCGCCUGACCAGACGUCAAAUCUUGUCUAAUUCUAUCUACGUAUCACUUGCUUUUUUUUUUUCUCAUCCUCUUUCUUUUUCUUUCUCUUUGCGUUUUGAGUAAACA